This is a non-coding RNA of Paramuricea clavata, 158 nucleotides long. Lineage: Eukaryota; Metazoa; Cnidaria; Anthozoa; Malacalcyonacea; Plexauridae. The record is from the annotation of a GenBank genome assembly.
GUUGUUGCAAUAGUAAUUUUGCUCAGUACGAGAGGAACCGCGUAUACAUUUAGACAAUUGGCUCAUGCACUUGCCUGAAAAGACAAUGCUGCGAAGAUACCAUCAGUUGGAUUAUGAUUGAAGCCUCUUAAUUAGAAUCCAUGCGAGAACGCAGCGAU